CUUGGUCAUUUAGAGGAAGUAAAAGUCGUAACAAGGUUUCCGUAGGUGAACCUGCGGAAGGAUCAUUAGUGAAUUAAACAUGCUUGGUGUCUUCGUUUCGGCAAGGCCCUUGCUUAAAUCACAUCCUAACACCUGUGAACUGUAAGACGUAUGAUGAGGUCUUUGGCCAAGUCAUCGUCUGCCCUUUUUUAACAAACAAUUAAUGUAACAAACGUAGUCUUAUUAUAACCUAAUAAAACUUUCAACAACGGAUCUCUUGGCUCUCGCAUCGAUGAAGAACGCAGCGAAAUGCGAUAAGUAAUGUGAAUUGCAGAAUUCAGUGAAUCAUCGAAUCUUUGAACGCACCUUGCGCUCUUUGGUAUUCCGAAGAGCAUGCCUGUUUGAGUGUCAUGAAAAUAUCAACCUUGACUUGGGUUUUGUGCUCUAGUCUUGGCUUGGAAUUGGGUGCUUGCCGCUUUUACGAGCGGCUCACCUUAAAUGUAUUAGCUGGAUCUGUCUUUGAGACUUGGUUUGACUUGGCGUAAUAAGUAUUUCGCUAAGGACAUUCUUCGGAGUGGCCUCGUUUCUAGGACGCUUGUCCGCUUCCCAAUACAAGUUCCACCUCGUGGACAUGACUUUUUUAUUAUCUGGCCUCAAAUCAGGUAGGACUACCCGCUGAACUUAAGCAUAUCAAUAAGCGGAGGA
This 684-nucleotide ribosomal RNA is filed under the name uncultured Basidiomycota. RNAcentral's name for it is "eukaryotic LSU rRNA". The stretch from base 237 to 390 matches the Rfam family "5.8S ribosomal RNA". The record is from RNAcentral. Lineage: Eukaryota; Fungi; Basidiomycota.